Molecule: non-coding RNA, 31 nt
Filed under: Rattus norvegicus (Norway rat)
Lineage: Eukaryota; Metazoa; Chordata; Mammalia; Rodentia; Muridae
Source: RNAcentral
UGGGGACUAGAAUUCAUUGUCACUGGUCACC